Molecule: ribosomal RNA, 913 nt
Filed under: uncultured organism
Description: bacterial SSU rRNA
Rfam family: Bacterial small subunit ribosomal RNA
Source: RNAcentral
AGCGGCAGACGGGUGAGUAACACGUAAGUAACCUACCCCAGAGACAGGGAUAACCCUAGGAAACGAGGGCUAAUACCAGAUGAACUCCGCGAGGAGUAAAGGCUCCGGCGCUCUGGGAGGGGCUUGCGGCCCAUCAGCUAGUUGGUAGGGUAAAGGCCUACCAAGGCGAAGACGGGUAGGGGGUGUGAGAGCACGACCCCCCACAAUGGGACUGAAACACGGCCCAUACUCCUACGGGAGGCAGCAGCAGGGAAUAUUGCACCAAUGGGCGAAAGCCUGAUGCAGCGACGCCGCGUGAGUGGAGAAGGCCUUCGGGGUCGUAAAGCUCUUUUGUAGGGGAAGAGGAAGGACGGUACCCUGAGAAAAAGCGUCGGCUUAACUACGUGCCAGCAGCCGCGGGUAAAGACGUAGGACGCGAGCGUUAUCCGGAAAUUACUGGGCGUAAAGGGCCCAGCAGGCGGCUAGAUAAAUUGUGCGUGAAAAGCCUCGUGCUCAACGCGAAAGGAAGCCGGACAAUACUGUCUAGCUUGGAGGGCAUCAAAGGGGGAGUGGAAUUCCCGGGAGUACCGCGUAAAAAGCGCAGAUAUAGGGAGGAACAACCGAUUGGCAAAGGGCACUUCCCUGGGGGUUGUACCUGACGCUAAGUGGCGAAAGCUAGGGGAGCGAACAGGAUUAGAGACCCUGGUAGUCCUAGCUGUAAACGCUGGGUGCUAGGUGUGGGGCGUAGAAGCUCUGUGCCGGAGCGAACGCGAUUAGCACCCCGCCUGGGAAUUACGGUCGCAAGGCUUAAACUCAAACGAAUUGACGGGGCCCCGCACAAGCAGCGGAGCGUGUGGUUCAAUUCGAUGCUACACGGAGAACCUUACCUGGGUUUGACAUGUACGUGGUAGAGAAGCGAAAGCGGAUUGACCCU